This 71-nucleotide transfer RNA is filed under the name Mycoplasma sp. CAG:472. It matches the Rfam family "tRNA". From Rfam's summary of the family: Transfer RNA (tRNA) molecules are approximately 80 nucleotides in length. Their secondary structure includes four short double-helical elements and three loops (D, anti-codon, and T loops). Lineage: Bacteria; Bacillati; Mycoplasmatota; Mollicutes; Mycoplasmatales; Mycoplasmataceae. The record is from Rfam by way of RNAcentral.
GGAACCGUAGCCAAGUGGUAAGGCGUGGGUCUGCAACACCCUGAGCACCAGUUCGAAUCUGGUCGGUUCCU